AGCCUUCUGUAUCCGUGCUGAGAUUUCGUCAUACCAAACCACAAGGUCUGAUGAAACUUCCAAUAUAAGUGAAGCA
Molecule: microRNA precursor, 76 nt
Filed under: Schistosoma margrebowiei
Lineage: Eukaryota; Metazoa; Platyhelminthes; Trematoda; Strigeidida; Schistosomatidae
Description: mir-3492 microRNA precursor family
Rfam family: mir-3492 microRNA precursor family
Source: Rfam by way of RNAcentral